CGAGGGAUGCCAAUUGGUGGGAAGCAUUUAAACUGGCAGGAAGAGCAGGUGGCUGAGUGCAGCAAGCAGUGUACACACGGAUCACAGGUUACAUCUGGGAUUUCGUGAUGAAUGCCUAAUGAGCACGUCGAUUAGACUGGCAGAACUCUUCAAGCCAUUGUAAAUGUAGCUGAAAGAAGCGGGGCUGAUAAGACACUGAAUAACCACUCUCGUAAAGCUUUCCUUUGGCACUGCAAUAUUUAAAGUCCAGAAAGAUAAUGGAGAGAAAGCUGGACAAUAAAAUGAAAAGGGAACUGUCCUGCUUAGCUACUUUGAACAACAAAAACAUAACCCUGGUGUCUAUUCGGAAGCGGCAGGCAGCUCAUGAUGUGCCUGAACUACUGAUUAUUGGUGAAAAGUCCAAGACAGGAUCUCCGAUAAAAGCAAGCAGUAACUUGCAGAAAGAAGAGAAAGUUUUGCAGAGUUACUCCAUGGGAAUGCCAGAAGUCAAUGCAGUUGAAAGACAGGCUUUGUCCACCACUGAUUCUCCCCCUGGCUGUGAGCUGGAGCCUACAAUGAAACACAAUUUUGCUUUUGACAACAUGGGCUAUGAGGACAGCUUUGAAACUGGGCCCUCUUCCUCUUCCCUAGAACACACUGUAGCAGUCAAUGUUGUGGGAAUGACUUGCCAAUCAUGUGUGCAGUCUAUAGAAGGCCGAAUUUCCAAGGUGAAGGGCAUUGUGAGUAUUAAAGUCUCCCUUGAACAGAACAAUGCUGUAAUAAAGUAUCUGCAGUCAGACAUAAGUCCUGAGCAGAUUUGCAAAGAAAUUCAGGAUAUGGGCUUUGAUGCCAACAUAGCAGAAGAGUGGUCGAAAACAGCAACUGUAAAUUUGUCAUGCUUGAAAGAAGCAGUAGUUAAGCUUCGGGUAGAAGGCAUGACAUGUCAGUCCUGUGCCACCAACAUUGAAGGAAAGAUUAGGAAGCUGCACGGUGUGGCAAAAAUCAAGGUGUCACUUGGUAACCAGGAAGCUAUUAUUGCGUACUAUCCUUACAUUAUUCAGCCUGACGACCUCAAGAGCCAUAUAAGUAACCUGGGGUAUGACUGCACCAUCAAAAGUAAAUCAGCCCCUUUGAAGCUGGGUGUCCUCGAUCUUGAGCGCUUGCAGAAUGCAAACCCCAAGGAGACACCAGCAAGUCUUGAGAGCAAUGGAGUAGACCUGCGGUUCAUCAAGAUGAGUAGCACAGCUACGGUGGCUCUACAGGUAGAAGGCAUGCACUGCAACUCCUGUGUCAGAAACAUCGAAGGAAACAUAUCUAAUCUUCCUGGCAUACGAAGUAUUAAAGUGUCAUUGGAGCAUAAAUGUGCUGUGGUACAGUAUAGCCCAAAUUUAAUUACCCUGCCAGCUUUGCAGCAAGCUAUUGAAUCGCUUCCACCUGGAAACUUUAAAGUAUGCCUCCUUAAUGGUUCAGAAACAAACAAAGGAGCACCUCCAUCACCUGCUUCCCAACGCGACCUUUUCAUAGAGCCGCUGCAGGACACGAUGUGCACGGCUGUCAUUAGGAUUGAUGGCAUGACCUGUAAUUCUUGCGUACAGUCCAUAGAAGGGACCAUAUCACAGAGACAAGGAGUGCAACGUAUAGCAGUUUCUUUAGCCGGCAGAACUGGGACCAUACAUUAUGAUCCAUCUGUCACUAACGGAGAAGUGUUAAGAGUUGCCAUAGAAGACAUGGGGUUUGAUGCUUCUGUACUGACAGUGUAUUGUGCAUUUAUUCAAGAUACUGCCACUGGAGAACAUAAGCAGCAGCCUGACACCAGCAAAGCUGCUGUGCAGCCUCAAGCUCCAGAUCCUCCUCUCCAAGGCUGUUCCUCGGAUGCUGCUCCAGACAGACCACAUCCUGAUGGGCCAAACCAGCCCAGUGGAGUCACAGCUGGGAAGUGUUUUUUACAAAUCACGGGCAUGACCUGUGCAUCCUGUGUGUCUACCAUUGAGAGGAAUUUACAGAAACAAGAUGGGAUUAUUUCAGUGUUGGUAGCACUGAUGGCAGGUAAAGCAGAGGUAAAAUACAAGCCAGAACUCAUACAGCCUCUUGAAAUAGCACAGCUGAUCCAGAAUUUGGGUUUUGGUGCUACUGUCAUAGAAGAUCAUGCAGAAACAGAAGGGAAUGUGGAACUUCUAAUUACAGGGAUGACUUGUGCUUCUUGUGUUCACAAUAUUGAAUCCAAACUCAUGAGAACUAAUGGCAUAUUAUACGCCUCAGUUGCACUUGCCACAUGCAAAGCUCACAUCCAAUUUGAUCCUGAGAUUACUGGACCUCGAGAUAUUAUAAAAAUAAUUGAGGAAAUUGGCUUUCAUGCUUCUGUGGCUAGAAGAGUUCCAAAUGCACAUAACCUAGAUCAUAAAAAGGAAAUUCAGCAGUGGAGGAAAUCUUUCUUGUGCAGCCUGCUGUUUGGUAUCCCUGUCUUAAUCCUAAUGAUUUAUAUGCUAAUACCCCAUGGUGAGCACCAUGGGUCUAUGGUGCUGGAACAGAACAUCAUUCCUGGAUUAUCUGUUUUAAAUCUUCUCUUCUUUGUCCUGUGCACUUUUGUUCAGUUUCUUGGUGGGUGGUAUUUUUACGUACAAGCUUACAAGUCACUGAAGCACAAGAUGGCCAAUAUGGAUGUGCUCAUCGUACUAGCCACAACGAUUGCCUAUGUGUAUUCCUGUGUUAUCCUCAUGGUAGCAAUAGUUGAAAAGGCAGAGAAAAGCCCCAUCACUUUCUUUGACACUCCUCCGAUGCUGUUCGUAUUCAUUGCUCUUGGGAGAUGGCUGGAACACAUAGCAAAGAGUAGGACCUCAGAAGCUCUUGCUAAACUUAUAUCUCUUCAAGCCACAGAAGCCACUGUGGUGACUCUUGGACCUGACCACUCUAUCAUCAGGGAGGAGCAGGUAGCUGUUGAGCUGGUUCAAAGGGGUGAUAUCGUAAAGGUUGUUCCUGGUGGAAAGUUCCCAGUGGAUGGAAAGGUCAUUGAAGGCACUUCUAUGGCAGAUGAGUCUCUCAUUACUGGGGAAGCUAUGCCAGUCACUAAAAAGCCUGGGAGCACAGUGAUUGCUGGUUCUAUAAAUGCACAUGGCUCAGUUCUUGUUAAUGCAACUCAUGUUGGUAAUGAUACCACUCUGGCACAGAUUGUGAAAUUAGUGGAAGAAGCUCAAAUGUCAAAGGCACCCAUCCAGCAACUGGCAGACAAGUUUAGUGGAUAUUUUGUACCGUUUAUCAUCAUCAUUUCAACAGUGACAUUGAUAGUAUGGGUCACAAUUGGGUUUAUAAAUUUUGAAGUUAUUCAAAAAUAUUUUCCUAAUCAGAACAAAGACGUUUCAAAAGCUGAACUAAUACUGAGGUUUGCGUUUCAAACCUCAAUCACUGUGCUGAGCAUUGCAUGCCCAUGUUCUUUAGGCUUGGCUACCCCCACAGCUGUGAUGGUGGGCACAGGUGUUGCUGCACAGAAUGGUAUCCUCAUCAAAGGUGGAAAACCCCUGGAAAUGGCACACAAGAUCAAGACUAUAAUGUUUGAUAAAACUGGGACCAUCACCUGUGGAGUUCCUAAAGUCAUGAGGGUACUUUUGCUGGGAGACACAGCUGUGCUCUCUCUGAAGAAGGUACUGGCAGUGGUAGGCACUGCAGAAGCCAGCAGUGAGCAUCCUCUAGGAGUGGCAGUUACUAAAUAUUGCAAAGAGGAGCUUGGUACUCAGAGCUUGGGAUACUGCACCGACUUCCAGGCAGUCCCAGGCUGUGGCAUCAGCUGCAAGGUCGGAGGUGUUGAGGCUGUCCUGGAUAUGGCCGAGGAGGGUCUCGAUAAGCUGGACACUAACAGGAGUGGGGACAGCAGUGCUCCUCUGGGAGACAACAUGCUGGUCAUGCUCUCAGAAUCACAUGGUCCAUCAGCUUCUCACAUGUACUCGGUGUUGAUUGGAAAUCGUGAGUGGAUGCGACGCAAUGGCUUGCAUAUUGCAAAUGACAUAAAUGAUGCAAUGACAGAUCAUGAAACAAAAGGACAGACUGCCAUACUAGUGGCUAUAGAUGGCAUGCUCUGUGGAAUGAUUGCAAUAGCAGACACUGUCAAGCAGGAGGCAGCACUUGCUGUGCACACACUGAAAAACAUGGGCAUAGAUGUGGUGCUGAUAACGGGGGACAACAGAAAAACUGCAAAAGCCAUUGCUACUCAGGUUGGGAUCAAAAAAGUCUUUGCUGAGGUUCUUCCUUCUCACAAGGUUGCAAAGGUCCAGGAGCUCCAAAAUGGGAGGGUGAAGGUUGCAAUGGUUGGUGAUGGAGUCAAUGAUUCUCCUGCACUAGCCAGGGCCGAUGUUGGAAUUGCAAUUGGAACAGGCACUGAUGUUGCGAUUGAAGCAGCCGAUGUUGUUCUUAUCCGAAAUGACUUGCUGGAUGUAGUUGCCAGUAUUCACUUAUCAAAGAGAACAGUUCGGAGAAUACGAAUAAAUCUGGUUCUUGCCUUAAUUUAUAAUCUGCUUGGAAUACCCAUAGCAGCAGGUGUGUUCAUGCCUAUUGGCCUUGUGCUUCAGCCUUGGAUGGGAUCAGCUGCAAUGGCAGCUUCUUCUGUGUCUGUCGUGCUGUCUUCCCUGCAGCUGAAAUGGCAAGUUCUCUUAUAUUCAUCAACUGGGGAACCAUAGGCAGCACUGCUGCCGAGCCUCAAGUGAAAUAUUACUUUGGGCUUUGUCUGAAUAGAAUUAUAAGAAGCCAGACACAGAAAGUUACGAAGCACAAGCUCAAGGCCACAUGAAGCCACUUACUCCUUCCCAAAUCAGUGUUCAUAUUGGAAUGGAUGAUAGGAGGAGGGAUUCAUCCAGAGCAGCUCCUUGGGAUCAGAUUAGCCAAGUAUCUCUCUCUUCCUUGACGGCAGACAAGCUGCCGAAACAUAAUGGGUUUGUUGAGGAAGAAGGGGACAAGUGGUCAUUGCUCAUUAAUGGAAGAGAUGAAGAACAGUACAUCUGAAGCACUGUAUUCUUAGUACAGGAGGAAAUAUUCCUCCCCACUAGUGACGGCAGGGACUGACUUAUUUCACCAAGAGCUUCAAGACUUCAAAUAAAGUCAUUCCUUCAGCUCAUAAAACAAUUGCUACUCA
This is an RNA transcript of Pezoporus occidentalis (night parrot), 5095 nucleotides long. It is a transcript of the gene named ATPase copper transporting beta, with no coding region annotated. The record is from RefSeq and is a predicted model, not a curated record. NCBI's taxonomy places the organism in Eukaryota, Metazoa, Chordata, Aves, Psittaciformes, Psittacidae. The transcript is spliced from 21 exons.